RNAcentral lists this ribosomal RNA (497 nucleotides) under uncultured bacterium. RNAcentral describes it as "partial 16S ribosomal RNA". It matches the Rfam family "Bacterial small subunit ribosomal RNA", at positions 28 to 507 of the family's 1533-position model. The record is from RNAcentral.
GAUGAACGCUGGCGGCGUGCCUAAUACAUGCAAGUCGAGCGAACGGACGCGACGCUUGCUUCUUUGAUGUUUGCGGCGGACGGGAGAGUCACACGUGUAUAACCUACCUAUAAGACUGGGAUAACUUCGGGAAACCGGAGCUAAUACCGGAUGAUAUUUUGAACCGCAUGGUUCAAAAGUGAAAGACGGUCUUGCUGUCACUUCUAGAUGGAUCCCGGCUGCAUUAGCUAGUUGGUAGGGUAACGGCUUACCAAGGCGAGGAUGCAUAGCCGACGGGUGUGGGGGGUAGGCGACAUGAGAGGGGAGCCGGGGUCAAUGCGACUGAGGGAGGCAGCAGUAUGGAACGGUCGGCAAUGGGCGAGAGCAUGACGGAGCGACGCCGAGUGAGAGACGAAGGUCUUCGGAUCGGGAAACUCUGUUAUGAGUGAAGAACAUAUGUGUAAGUAAAUGUGGAGUGCGUGACGGUACCUAAUAAGAAAGCCACGGCUAACUACGUG